Long non-coding RNA from Oreochromis niloticus (Nile tilapia), 669 nucleotides. RefSeq lists it as uncharacterized. The transcript is spliced from 5 exons. Lineage: Eukaryota; Metazoa; Chordata; Actinopteri; Cichliformes; Cichlidae. The record is from RefSeq and is a predicted model, not a curated record.
CUGGUCUGCAAAAGUGAGGAGUGUCCCCGCCUUCCAAAGAUUCUUACAGCGCUUCCUGUCACCUAAAGCCUGUUGAUGUCUCCAGACCAGCCCGGAAGAAGUGCUCCCUGAUCUUUAAAAUUGAAUACACUUUUCUGUCUUUCCAUGAGUUGUCCCUUAAUCUGAACUGCAACCAAAUGAAGAGUGUAAUUACUUCCUUCAAGCCAUCCUGUCGUAUAAAGGUGAAUCCUCCUGCGGAGCCAAAGGUCAACUUCACCUCUGUUUCCUGGUUGUCCCAAGUCCCUGAACAUGAAAGGAUCAGUUCAUACAGAAGUGUAGUGCAGUGGAAGAAGCAGGAUCAGUCAUGGAGUGAUCCUGCUGUGCACAAAAAAAGUGGUAUUCAAUGUGGACAGGAGUGCAAGGCAGAGCUGGAGCCAGAUUUGCUGAUACGAGGCGAGAGGUACGAGGCACGCGUUCGUGUGCGGUCUAUUUUUCAGCACCGCAAGGGAGCCUGGAGUGACUGGAGCCCCACUGCAUCAUGGGUGUCACCAGCUGGAAGAAAAAAAAAAGUAACCAUGUGGAAUUGCUAUAAAUUUUCACAGCACACAUUGCAACCUGUACCCAGAUAUUUAAAAUCACAGAUGUACGGGAUGUAUGUAAAACUUAGGUUUUUGGUAGCACUUAAUAAUA